Long non-coding RNA from Zonotrichia albicollis (white-throated sparrow), 1421 nucleotides. The record is from Ensembl. NCBI's taxonomy places the organism in Eukaryota, Metazoa, Chordata, Aves, Passeriformes, Passerellidae.
CUCAGGUGAUUUAAUUUACCUGUGCCAGGGCCUGCCCACCCUCCCAGAGGAGAAUUCCCUCCCAACAUCCCAACCAAACCUCCUCUCUGUCAGUUCAGAGGGAUUUUCUUGCUGUUUCUCAGCUUUCCCUCCAUAGUGGUGCCUUUCACCACCAAAUCAGGAGCUUUGCCCAGGGUUCAUUUUUGGGACAAAAUCGUUUUUCCGGGAUGGAGGUUUGUGCUUUGCAGGGUGAGGUUUCACAGGUGGCCGGCCAGGGGCAAAGGCAGGGGAUGUUCCCAGGGGACAGAGGAGUGUGAGCAGCCCCAGCCCAGCCCAGUGUCUGCUCAGGUACCAAUUCCACUGAUUUCAAGUUAAAAUAAUUGGGAUUUCAUGGACAUUGGGAGAUGUGGAGGAGUGUGAGCAGCCCCAGCCCAGCCCAGUGUCUGCUCAGGUACCAAUUCCACUGAUUUCAAGUUAAAAUAAUUGGGAUUUCAUGGACGUUGGGAGAUGUGGCUUGAUCUCUUCUCGUGGCUCUGCUGUGGAAGUGAAAACCUCCUUCAACGCCCCCUUAAACCUCAUUCCAGCUGUUUGUCCUUCCUCAGCCUCAGGAACCCCUCAAAGCUCAUUCCAGCUGUUUCUUGAAGCAUGGACCUCAAGGCAGGUGCCUCAACCCCACGUUUUUGGAGCACUCUUAAUUAAUUUUGUGCCUCCAAAGCUGUAUUUAGUGAGUCAUGGUCAUUGAAAUCCCCUUAAUUGGACGUUUUUGGGUUUGGGACAGAAAUAUCAACCUGUACAAAAGCAAGCUGAGGAGAGGAGAAUGUUUAUUUUGUGUGCUUUUGUUUGACUCAGAGAAACAGAAUCCUGGUUUGUGAUGAUUUCUGCUUUUAGGGCAAAAGCCAGAUCUCAAAUGAACAGUUUUAACGUGUUGGUUUGGUGUUUUUCUUUCAGGUGGGUUCUCCCAAAUGAAGACAACCACUCAGAAUACGUUCCCGAGGAGUUGGGCCUAGCAAUAUGGCAGCGCACGUUCCAUAGGAAACCCUGCAGAACGCUGUUGCUGCUGCUGAGCUCCGUUCCCAAGGAGGGCACAAUCCCUGCCCCGCCCCGGCCUCCACCACUGCGGGCCCUGAGCUUUCUCCACCCCAAAAUUCCAUCCCUGGAUUUGCAAAGAUGCUGCAGCACGAAUUUUUGGCUGCUGAAAAAACUUUGGGAGAAGCUGGAUGCUUUUAAGGUGAGUGAAGUUGGAGGAUGAAUUUAGAUAACCUUUGGGCAGAUGGUGAAAGUUUAACAUCUAUAACAGGAGUUUCUUGCCGCCCAGCGAUUCCAAAUGAAGGAAAAAAAAAUUGUAUUUUAUAAUUGCAUAUUUAAAGGUUGAAGUGAUUUAUUUUAAGAACCUGCACCAAAAAAAAAAUAAAAAAAAAAAAAAAGAAGAGGGAGAAUUUUCU